Molecule: ribosomal RNA, 530 nt
Filed under: Congolius robustus
Lineage: Eukaryota; Metazoa; Chordata; Amphibia; Anura; Hyperoliidae
Description: partial large subunit ribosomal RNA
Rfam family: Bacterial large subunit ribosomal RNA
Source: RNAcentral
CGCCUCUUGCUUAGGUAUAAGAGGUCCCGCCUGCCCCGUGAUUUAAUUUAACGGCCGCGGUAUUUUAACCGUGCAAAGGUAGCACAAUCAAUUGUCUCCUAAAUAGGGACCUGUAUGAACGGCACCACGAAGGCUUAACUGUCUCCCCCCUCCAAUCAAUGAAACUGAUCUUCUCGUGAAGAAGCGAGAAUUUAUAUAUAAGACGAGAAGACCCCAUGGAGCUUAAAACUCAUUACCACCUACUUAAUAUAAACCAUAUUAUUUAGUAGCAUAUGUUCUUUAAUAGUUUUCGGCUGGGGUGCCCCUGGAGUAAAACAAACCCUCCAGGAUGAAUGAAUUCUUAAAUUUUAAUCCAAGAACCACAAGUCUAAGAAUCAAAACCUUGACAUUAUUGACCCAUUAUUUGAUCAACGAACCAAGUUACCCUGGGGAUAACAGCGCAAUCCAUUUUAAGAGCCCCUAUCGACAAAUGGGUUUACGACCUCGAUGUUGGAUCGGGGUGUCCUAGUGGCGCAGCCGUCACUAAGGGU